Long non-coding RNA from Salmo trutta (river trout), 2190 nucleotides. Lineage: Eukaryota; Metazoa; Chordata; Actinopteri; Salmoniformes; Salmonidae. The record is from Ensembl.
CUUAUACCACGCUGCCUGUCUCCUUAUACCACGCUGCCUGUCUCCUUAUACCACGCUGCCUGUCUCCUUAUACCACGCUGCCUGUCUCCUUAUACCACGCUGCCUGUCUCCUUAUACCACGCUGCCUGUCUCCUUAUACCACGCUGCCUGUCUCCUUAUCCCACGCUGCCUGUCUCCUUAUACCACGCUGCCUGUCUCCUUAUACCACGCUGCCUGUCUCCUUAUCCCACGCUGCCUGUGUCCUUAUACCACGCUGCCUGUCUCCUUAUACCACGCUGCCUGUCUCCUUAUACCACGCUGCCUGUCUCCUUAUACCACGCUGCCUGUCUCCUUAUACCACGCUGCCUGUCUCCUUAUACCACGCUGCCUGUCUCCUUAUACCACGCUGCCUGUCUCCUUAUACCACGCUGCCUGUCUCCUUAUACCACGCUGCCUGUCUCCUUAUCCCACGCUGCCUGUGUCCUUAUACCACGCUGCCUGUCUCCUUAUCCCACGCUGCCUGUCUCCUUAUACCACGCUGCCCGUCUCCUUAUACCACGCUGCCCGUCUCCUUAUCCCACGCUGCCCGUGUUCUUAUACCACGCUGCCUGUCUCCUUAUACCACGCUGCCUGUCUCCUUAUACCACGCUGCCUGUCUCCUUAUACCACGCUGCCUGUCUCCUUAUACCACGCUGCCUGUGUCCUUAUACCACGCUGCCUGUCUCCUUAUACCACGCUGCCUGUCUCCUUAUACCACGCUGCCUGUCUCCUUAUCCCACGCUGCCUGUCUCCUUAUACCACGCUGCCUGUCUCCUUAUACCACGCUGCCUCUCUCCUUAUACCACGCUGCCUGUCUCCUUAUCCCACGCUGCCUCUCUCCUUAUUCCACGCUGCCUCUCUCCUUAUACCACGCUGCCUGUCUCCUUAUCCCACGCUGCCUGUCUCCUUAUACCACGCUGCCUGUCUCCUUAUACCACGCUGCCUGUGUUCUUAUACCACGCUGCCUGUCUCCUUAUACCACGCUGCCUGUCUCCUUAUACCACGCUGCCUGUCUCCUUAUACCACGCUGCCUGUCUCCUUAUACCACGCUGCCUGUGUCCUUAUCCCACGCUGCCUGUCUCCUUAUACCACGCUGCCUGUCUCCUUAUACCACGCUGCCUGUCUCCUUAUACCACGCUGCCUGUCUCCUUAUACCACGCUGCCUGUCUCCUUAUACCACGCUGCCUGUCUCCUUAUACCACGCUGCCUGUCUCCUUAUACCACGCUGCCUGUCUCCUUAUACCACGCUGCCUCUCUCCUUAUACCACGCUGCCUGUCUCCUUAUACCACGCUGCCUGUCUCCUUAUACAACGCUGCCUAUCUCCUUAUACCACGCUGCCUGUCUCCUUAUACCACGCUGCCUGUCUCCUUAUACCACGCUGCCUGUCUCCUUAUACCACGCUGCCUGUCUCCUUAUACCACGCUGCCUGUCUCCUUAUACCACGCUGCCUGUGUCCUUAUACCACGCUGCCUGUGUCCUUAUACCACGCUGCCUGUCUCCUUAUACCACGCUGCCUGUCUCCUUAUACCACGCUGCCUGUCUCCUUAUACCACGCUGCCUGUCUCCUUAUACCACGCUGCCUGUCUCCUUAUCCCACGCUGCCUGUGUCCUUAUACCACGCUGCCUGUCUCCUUAUACCACGCUGCCUGUCUCCUUAUACCACGCUGCCUGUCUCCUUAUACCACGCUGCCUGUCUCCUUAUACCACGCUGCCUGUCUCCUUAUACCACGCUGCCUGUCUCCUUAUACCACGCUGCCUGUCUCCUUAUCCCACGCUGCCUGUCUCCUUAUACCACGCUGCCUCUCUCCUUAUACCACGCUGCCUGUCUCCUUAUACCACGCUGCCUGUCUCCUUAUACCACGCUGCCUGUCUCCUUAUCCCACGCUGCCUGUCUCACCAUGUUGCCUGUCUCUCUGUAUCCCUCUGUGUGUCAAAGCCCAACCGGUAAAGGCUGUGGAUCUGGGAAUGGUUAUGAUGGGUGAUGGAUACUGAUGGUUGAAACCUAUAACCACUGAACACAUAUUUCGUCUGGAUUGAACAACCAAAGCCCACUUUCAAUUGGUUUGUUUGGACAUUGUUAAAAUAGAGAGGGUCUCAGAGUUUGUACCACCUUAUGGAGGUGUGUGUGUGUUAGACCUACUUCUGUGUCUGUAUUAAAAUCCCUUCGUCCU